RNAcentral lists this long non-coding RNA (828 nucleotides) under Eutrema salsugineum. Its description in RNAcentral is "long non-coding RNA (ESAL_LNC000555)". Lineage: Eukaryota; Viridiplantae; Streptophyta; Magnoliopsida; Brassicales; Brassicaceae. The record is from RNAcentral.
UGGAUUUUCAGAAGAGGCCAUCUGCGAAAGUUUAGAACAACAAAUCAAUAAACGUUUUAACUGAAACUUCAUACAAGUUUCAAAGUUCAACUUCAACAGAUCAAUCUCUAAAGCUUCAGCAGUUCAGCUAAGUAACUAUAACACUAAUGUAUCACAGAACAGAACACAAUGAAGCAAUCACCAAACAAAACCAACAUCAACUUACUUGAGUUCUUAAGUUCAUUUAGAAGUGUCUAUCAUCUGCUAUAUAUGUUUGUGCAAUAAUAUCAGCGGUUGACAUUCAUACAAGUUAACAAAACCUCACAUGAUCACAUUCAGUCGACAAGUUAGCAAAACAUCAAGCCAAAAAAACACCACAUCAUUCGCAGAAAUAUAACAUUCGGUCGACAGAUAUAAGAUCACUGAUUCAGUGAAAUUCAUCCAAGUUAACAAAACCUCACAAUCUCACAUUCAUUCGACAAGUUUAGCAAAGCAUCAAUGAUCAAUCAAAGAAAAAAAACACCACAUCAGUCGCCAAAAAAAACCUCACAAAUCACAAUCUAACAUUAACAGAAAUGUGAAAAAACACCAACCACACACAGAAAAAGACGACUGAAACGUGAAUCAAUUGAAGGAGAUUUACCUCAGAGUUAUUUCUCGACGAUGCAGUUGAUGGAGAUGGAGAUUGCGAAGAGAAGGCAGCUAGGGAUUCCAGUUUUGUAGUUGGGGCUUGGAAAUUGAGGUUGCUUUUAUAAUUCGAUCGAUCGAGACGAUAUUGGGAAGUAGAUUGUGUUGCGAGAUCGUCGGUGAGGUGGGAAGAUUCAGCAAUAUUCUCGGAUGGAUUGAAUU